Molecule: ribosomal RNA, 513 nt
Filed under: uncultured bacterium
Lineage: Bacteria
Description: partial 16S ribosomal RNA
Rfam family: Bacterial small subunit ribosomal RNA
Source: RNAcentral
GACGAACGCUGGCGGCGUGCUUAACACAUGCAAGUCGAACGAAAAGAGGGAAAGAGCCUGCUCUUUCCGGAAUUGAGUGGCAAACGGGUGAGUAACACGUAAACAACCUGCCUUCAGGAUGGGGACAACAGACGGAAACGACUGCUAAUACCGAAUAAGUUCCAAGAGCCGCAUGGCCCAUGGAAGAAAAGGUGGCCUCUACCUGUAAGCUAUCGCCUGAAGAGGGGUUUGCGUCUGAUUAGCUGGUUGGAGGGGUAACGGCCCACCAAGGCGACGAUCAGUAGCCGGUCUGAGAGGAUGAACGGCCACACUGGAACUGAGACACGGUCCAGACUCCUACGGGAGGCAGCAGUGGGGAAUCUUCCGCAAGGGGCGAAAGCCUGACGGAGCAACGCCGCGUGAGGGAUGACGGCCUUCGGGUUGUAAAACUCUGUGAUCCGGGACGAAAAGGCAGAGUGCGAAGAACAAACUGCAUUGACGGUACCGGAAAAGCAAGCCACGGCUAACUACGUG